This 466-nucleotide ribosomal RNA is filed under the name uncultured Bacteroidales bacterium. RNAcentral's name for it is "bacterial SSU rRNA". It matches the Rfam family "Bacterial small subunit ribosomal RNA", at positions 335 to 798 of the family's 1533-position model. The record is from RNAcentral. Lineage: Bacteria; Pseudomonadati; Bacteroidota; Bacteroidia; Bacteroidales.
UCGCCUACGGGUGGCUGCAGUGAGGUAUAUUGGUCAAUGGACGGAAGUCUGAACCAGCCAAGUAGCGUGCAGGAAGACGGCCCUAUGGGUUGUAAACUGCUUUUAUACGAGGGUAAAGUGUGUCACGAGUGGCAUAUUGCAAGUAUCGUAAGAAAAAGGAUCGGCUAAUUCCGUGCCAGCAGCCGCGGUAAUACGGAAGAUCCAAGCGUUAUCCGGAUUUAUUGGGUUUAAAGGGAGCGUAGGCGGAAGUUCAAGUCAGUUGUGAAAGUCUGUGGCUUAACCAUAGAAUUGCAGUUGAAACUGAAUUUCUUGAGUGUAGAUAAGGAUGGUGGAAUUUGUGGUGUAGCGGUGAAAUGCAUAGAUAUCACGAAGAGCUCCAAUUGCGAAGGCAGCCAUCCGGGCUACAACUGACGCUGAGGCUCGAAAGUGCGGGAAUCAAACAGGAUUAGAUACCCCUGUAGUCUGC